Molecule: ribosomal RNA, 305 nt
Filed under: uncultured bacterium
Lineage: Bacteria
Description: bacterial SSU rRNA
Rfam family: Bacterial small subunit ribosomal RNA
Source: RNAcentral
UGUCCUACGGGGGGCAGCAGUGAGGAAUAUUGGUCAAUGGCCGGAAGGCUGAACCAGCCAAGCCGCGUGAAGGACGAAGGUGCCAAGCAUUGUAAACUUCUUUUGUCAAGGGACAAAAUCAGGCUCGAGAGCCUGACCGAGGGUACUUGAAGAAAAAGCAUCGGCUAACUCCGUGCCAGCAGCCGCGGUAAUACGGAGGAUGCGAGCGUUAUCCGGAUUUAUUGGGUUUAAAGGGUGCGUAGGCGGAUCGUUAAGUCAGUGGUCAAAUUGAGGGGCUCAACCCCUUCCCGCCAUUGAAACUGGCG